This is a long non-coding RNA of Zingiber officinale, 475 nucleotides long. RefSeq lists it as uncharacterized. The record is from RefSeq and is a predicted model, not a curated record. Lineage: Eukaryota; Viridiplantae; Streptophyta; Magnoliopsida; Zingiberales; Zingiberaceae. The transcript is spliced from 2 exons.
CCUCGCCGAACUCCCCUAAGCUCCUACCUCGCGACACCGCCGACUUUUCCCUUCUCUCUCGGUUCCGGCUGCCCCAUCGCCGGACCUCUUCCCUUCUGAGCCAACGCCGAACCUCUCCUCUUCCGUCUCUGCCAGAGCGCCACCGGUUGUCCUCCUCACGCGAGUCACAGUUGUCGACCCCUCUCCGAUUCCCAUUGCCGGAGUUGCGACCACCCUCUCCUCCUGGCGUCUUCGUAAGGUACAAUGCAAUCGACCCGAUUUGGUCGGUGUUGCUCAUCCCGGUGUCAGCCGAACCCUAGGUUGGAGGUGAACGACUCUCCAACCGGUUGCUUCUUCUCCGCUGAGCCACAGCCGCGUGGUCUCUUCUCCUCGUGCGAGCACCAGAGACUUCCUGCCGUGCCCUAAUUGAUCCGGACUUUGAUUUAGGGCGAGCAGCACAACGUGGAUUUUAUUCUGAUACGAUCGACAAGUAAAG